CUUCACAAUAACCAUGCUAUUAUACUGACCACUCAUUACAUAAUUUACCAGAAAAUUAUGCAGAAGUAGCAUAAGUCUUUCCAACAUUAAUGCAAAGACAUUAUCACUGAUUUUGAUUUUGAGAUGUGGUCUCAGGUAAAGUGAUAAUUGUAUUAAAACUAAUCUUUUUUUCAAAUGCAUUCCAAGAUCUCAAUUUUCUCCCUCAAAUAUUACCAUAAAAACUGAUGUCUUAGCCCACACAAUCCUUUCUAUCAAAUUCCUCACAACCAGGCUUUGGAUAGAGGGAAUUUCUAAGCCCUGCUGUGGCCGUCUCCACCUGCUCUUCCACGCCAUUCCUCCUUCUUCCAUGCGCACACUUAUAUCUCUAAGAACCUAUCUCACGAAUCAAUAUUCUACCUCUGUUAGCUCAACUCUCCGAGUCAUUCUAGUUGAGGAAAAAAGAGUGGGAAAGUAAAAUUACCACUGUGGUCAAGAUUAAGACAACUUAAACCAGAAGCUGAAUUCCAACCUCUGUGAAGCAUGAAGAACACCGAGAAACACAGGCUGCUAGGAAUUACUGCCUUGACUCUACCUUGAGAUUUCAGCCUUUCCAGUUCCCUUAUAUCUAGUAAAGCAUCAUUAAUUUGGGGCUUCACUAAUUCAAAAAUUGUUAAGAGUUCACACAGGUACUCUGUUGAAGUUUAAUUUUACACUAAGAAUAAUGACAGAUUGCAAACAAUACUAGUAGCAUUAGGAGGAUAUUCACUAUAAAAAACCUUAUCUUCACAAUACAUAUAAAGAGGAUAGUCACAAAAAAUGUAUCUUCAUAAUAUAUAAGGGGGAUAGUCACAAAAAAAGAUCUUCAAGUACUGCAAAAGAACUUGUUUGUUUACAAUAUUAUGCUUAAAAUAUAUGUUACAGUCCCUCUCAGGAAAUUCUAAGCAGUCAUUACAUUAUUACACAUUGCUAGAAGGAAAUGAUAGUUUUCAGACUAAUUUGAAGUAGCUUUUCUCCCAAAGAUUUCCAAAAUAUUUUUUAAUAAACACAAACACAUUGCAAUACUGUUUAGUGCAUUUAAUAAAAUGGAAAAUAGUACACUAGUACUGUGAUUAUACUUUAGUUUCAAGAGAUAAUUGUUAAUAUACAUGUAUAUAUUUUAGAUAGGGUCUCACUCUGUUGCUCAGGCUGGAUUGAGAUGGUAUGAUUUUGACUCACUGCAGCCUGGCCUCCCAGGCUCAAUUGAUCCUCCCACCUCAGCUUCCCAAGUAGCUGGGACUACAGGCACACACGACCAUGCCUGGCUAAUUUUUGUAUUUUUUGUAGAGACAGGGUUUUGUCAUGUUGCCCAGGUUGGCCUCAAACUCCUGAGUUAAAGCAAUCCAACCGCCUUGGCCUCCCAAACUGAUUAUUAAUUUUAAAAUGUCCGUUGGUAACCACUCUUAACAUAUUUUACCCGUAGAGAAUUUUUCUGAAGAAAAAUAAUUAACAUAGAAACAGAAAUGUCAAAAUUUGUCUAAUUAUCUAAUUUACUCAUUACUGACCCAUACUGGUUUUAUUGAUUUUAUUUAUAUGCUAUGUGUUUUAAUUAUCUAUUGUAUAAUAAAUUACCCCAAAACUUAGCAGCUUAAAACAACAAACAUGUAUUAUCUUACAUGGUUUCUGAGAGUUAGUUCUCUGGGGGUGGCUAAGCUGGGUGGCGCUGGCUUGGCUGUCAUUGCAGCUGUUGUCUCGACUGAAGGCUGAGGGAGGAUCCACUUCCAGGCUUUCUCCAUGGUUGUUGGCAGGCCUCAGUUACUUGCCUGAGUUCUCAGGCUGGAGUCCUCAGUUCCUUAGCAAAUGAGACUCCAGAGGCUGUUUGAGUGUCCUCUCAUAUGACAGUUUGCUUCCCCACAGCAAAUGAUCCAAGAGAGAAAGAGUGUGACUGCCUACGAUGGAAGCCAUGGUCUUGAUGACCUAACAACAUACCAUAUGACAUAUCAUCACUUCUGCUCAGUUCUACUGCUCGCAUAGACCAACCCUGGCACAAAGUGGGAAGGGACUUCACAAGCAUGUGGAUACCAAGACACAGGGUGUGAAUACCAGGAGGCGGAGAUCACUGGGAUCCAUUUUGGGGCUUUGCUAACACACUAUGAUUUUUUAAAAGAAGAAUACAAAAAAAAGGGAAGAAAACACAAUAUGGGGGAAGGAAAUGUUCACUCAGAAGGUCCAGAAACACAUUCAAAUAUAUAUAAAAAUACUGUAUACUAAAGAAUGGUCUCUAUAUAUUUGAGUAUGUUUCUGGGCUUUAUUUUUAUUUUAUUUAUUU
This 2284-nucleotide long non-coding RNA is filed under the name Homo sapiens (human). RNAcentral describes it as "long non-coding RNA NONHSAT247919". Lineage: Eukaryota; Metazoa; Chordata; Mammalia; Primates; Hominidae. The record is from RNAcentral.